Heterocephalus glaber (naked mole-rat) is the source of this 690-nucleotide long non-coding RNA. NCBI's taxonomy places the organism in Eukaryota, Metazoa, Chordata, Mammalia, Rodentia, Bathyergidae. The record is from Ensembl.
GUCCUGAGCUGUGAUACAGGAAAAAGAACCAGGAAAGACACCAACCAGAGGGUAGGAUGUUCAGGAGAGAAUGUGAAGUCAUCAGAGAGCAGCCACUUUUGACGGAUAGAACUACAGUGAAACAAUGAAACCCUAUAAGGAGAAAAUGAAGGUGGCCUCAUGAGUUUGACUAAAAUCGCCCAAGGUGCUUAAGACUAGUGCAGAAGGCCAAUCCCCCCUGUAGUCACCUGGGCCAUGCUCCUGCUUCCUGUUGCAGCCCACGGCCCACCAAGGCCACUGCCUAUGUGCAGCCCUACCUGCUUGCUCUUCCCUUUCCCCUGACUUCAAAAUAAAGCACCGGAUCCGGUGCAAUCUGCUGCACACCCGAGCCUGGAUUAACCCAGAGGUCUGCCUUCGCUUCUCUCACCGGGUGCCUUGGGGAUGCUGGAGAGAAGUACAGCACGGGAACCAGUGUCUUCACAAAGUGAGUGUUAGGCUCUUUUAAAACUUCCUGUACAAGCACAUGAAGAAAGCGGAAGGUCCUUUUUGUGAGAAUUGCUGACUGGCAUGCAUUGUUUGACGGGAACUUCAAACUUCAUUUGACAGAGAUUCUAAUUGCACUCUUCCUCAUCCUGCUGGAGAAGCUGACAACCUAUAUUUUGCAGCUCAAAAAGGAAAAUGCAAGGCUCAACUUGUUUCUGAUGGAGAAUU